Molecule: ribosomal RNA, 1335 nt
Filed under: Enterococcus durans
Lineage: Bacteria; Bacillati; Bacillota; Bacilli; Lactobacillales; Enterococcaceae
Description: bacterial SSU rRNA
Rfam family: Bacterial small subunit ribosomal RNA
Source: RNAcentral
AGAAGAGUGGCGAACGGGUGAGUAACACGUGGGUAACCUGCCCAUCAGAAGGGGAUAACACUUGGAAACAGGUGCUAAUACCGUAUAACAAUCGAAACCGCAUGGUUUUGAUUUGAAAGGCGCUUUCGGGUGUCGCUGAUGGAUGGACCCGCGGUGCAUUAGCUAGUUGGUGAGGUAACGGCUCACCAAGGCYACGAUGCAUAGCCGACCUGAGAGGGUGAUCGGCCACAUUGGGACUGAGACACGGCCCAAACUCCUACGGGAGGCAGCAGUAGGGAAUCUUCGGCAAUGGACGAAAGUCUGACCGAGCAACGCCGCGUGAGUGAAGAAGGUUUUCGGAUCGUAAAACUCUGUUGUUAGAGAAGAACAAGGAUGAGAGUAACUGUUCAUCCCUUGACGGUAUCUAACCAGAAAGCCACGGCUAACUACGUGCCAGCAGCCGCGGUAAUACGUAGGUGGCAAGCGUUGUCCGGAUUUAUUGGGCGUAAAGCGAGCGCAGGCGGUUUCUUAAGUCUGAUGUGAAAGCCCCCGGCUCAACCGGGGAGGGUCAUUGGAAACUGGGAGACUUGAGUGCAGAAGAGGAGAGUGGAAUUCCAUGUGUAGCGGUGAAAUGCGUAGAUAUAUGGAGGAACACCAGUGGCGAGGCGGCUCUCUGGUCUGUAACUGACGCUGAGGCUCGAAAGCGUGGGGAGCAAACAGGAUUAGAUACCCUGGUAGUCCACGCCGUAAACGAUGAGUGCUAAGUGUUGGAGGGUUUCCGCCCUUCAGUGCUGCAGCUAACGCAUUAAGCACUCCGCCUGGGGAGUACGACCGCAAGGUUGAAACUCAAAGGAAUUGACGGGGGCCCGCACAAGCGGUGGAGCAUGUGGUUUAAUUCGAAGCAACGCGAAGAACCUUACCAGGUCUUGACAUCCUUUGACCACUCUAGAGAUAGAGCUUCCCCUUCGGGGGCAAAGUGACAGGUGGUGCAUGGUUGUCGUCAGCUCGUGUCGUGAGAUGUUGGGUUAAGUCCCGCAACGAGCGCAACCCUUAUUGUUAGUUGCCAUCAUUCAGUUGGGCACUCUAGCAAGACUGCCGGUGACAAACCGGAGGAAGGUGGGGAUGACGUCAAAUCAUCAUGCCCCUUAUGACCUGGGCUACACACGUGCUACAAUGGGAAGUACAACGAGUCGCGAAGUCGCGAGGCUAAGCUAAUCUCUUAAAGCUUCUCUCAGUUCGGAUUGUAGGCUGCAACUCGCCUACAUGAAGCCGGAAUCGCUAGUAAUCGCGGAUCAGCACGCCGCGGUGAAUACGUUCCCGGGCCUUGUACACACCGCCCGUCACACCACGAGAGUU